UUAGAAAAGCUUCAUUUCUCCAACUGGACACUUAUGUAUCUUUCUGCUGGAAGGAGAGACAUGGCCUGCUGGGAGGACACAGGAGCCCACACCAGGCAACUGACUUCAGCUGUAAUAGAGUGCAAACCAGACAGCAAGAUUCCUGACCAGUACCUCCACACAGCUAAAGACAACUGGUGGAAUUGAAUCUUCAGGAGUCAUGUCCUGGUCAGCCCUAUGAUCACCAUCACCUGUGGACAUCACUGCUCUUCGACCUAAGAUAUUUCCAAGAGUAGAGAUUUUGCACCUGCUCAGCCACUUCUAUCGUCAUAUCCAAAGACACUGAUGGGGGACAGGAGGAGGAGCUUCAAACCAGAUUGGUACAAAAUUCUCAUGUUCUCAGGUUCAGAUGACUGCUUAUGUUAAUUUUGGGAUGUUGUGGAAAAGUGCCUAGAUGUGCAUAGAUGCUUAAUUGUUAUAAUUGUUUUUGACUACAAAAUUCAUUGUCAAAUAAAUGAACAUGAAACAUCAUUUGAGUUGAACUUAUUUUAUUAGCUUAUUUGCUUAUAAAACAGAGUGAUAUAUGACAGUGAAAAGUGACUGAAAAAUAAUCCUGAAAAUAAAUGUUAGUGUGCCCCCUAAAAGCACAAGUGGCCCCUGCCUGGCCCCCCUAGUUAGUGUACUCUAGAACCGCCACUGGUUCUAUGUAGAACCCUUGGGGAGCAAAGAACAUUUUUUAUUAAAAUGGUUCUAUAAUUCAUGUUUUAUGACUGAAGUGUAAAUUAAUUAUAGGCCUACACAACACAUUCACAAAGCUUUUUGAGUCAAGACCAAGGACAAUGACUGCUGUAGUCAAAAACAAGAGUCAACAAAUAUUAAUAUCUAGUCAAUGUAUUUGAGCUUUUUUUUUUUAUGCAAGUUUGUACAUUAGAAUGAAACUUAUAUUUCCUAAUACAUUAUAGUUUGCCUUUUGACGAAUAAUUUUGUGAAAUAAAUAAACUAACCAGGUGUUGUCUUUAUUUUGUACCAUACUAUAUUGUGAUGGUUUAAAAACAAAUUAUAUUUAAAUUAAAAACAAAUAAUCGUAAAGAUGCCCUCUGGUGGCGACGUGGCGUAUAUGUGUUGCAUCAUCCUUGAAUUCCUAUUGGUGGAUUGGAGAAGAUGGUCCUCGAGUCAGUGACAGUUAAUUUUUCAAACUGAGGAGUCCGCCAUUUCUGCCCGUUCUCUCAGAUAACCAUGGUUGAUAAAUGGUCAGUAGAUGACACGUGCCACUGGCUUCAAAAUAUAAACCUUAUUGAUGCAAAAGAAAGUUUCAGAGAUACACAUGAAAAUGUAUAAAUGUUCAUUUUGUGAUGUGAAGUUUCAACUCAAAAAGUAUCUAACUCACCUGCAAGUGCAACAUAACCACCAAGCAGAUUUUAGUGUUACCUGUAAGACCAAGGGAUGUUUUUAGAAGAUUUACUUCAAAUGUUCUUUAAAGCAACUCAGGAUACCAUUGUUUCCAGUUUGGAGUUCAUCUUGAAAUUUUUCCAACAAAAUUAUUUUGAAAUCAUAAAAUUCCACUUGACCAAAUCUGGGUUUAGACUAGAGGACCAGGAAGGCUUGGAUAACUUGCUAAAUAAUCAGACACUUAUAGAAAGUGUGUUUGCCUAUAUUCAGUCAGACUAUCAACUUUUCAAAUAUUGCAAAGAACAUCUACAUUUAGUGGAGCCAGUUAAGCACAUUCUUGAAACCAAUAGCCAGGGGAAGGAGGACAUAUUUCACCUAUCAUAGAUGUUCUGAAGACUCAGUUGGAGAAACAGGACAUAUUUGAAUCAUAUCAAAGAACCUGUGAACAAGCCCCAGGUACAGAUUUUUUAAGCAGUUACACAGAUGAAUUCUUUCAUGAGAGCCCCUUUUAUGGAGAUCCUAAUAUUGUAAGAUUGCAUCUGUACACUGAUGAAUAUGAAACUGUUGUACACUGAAGGACUGCAGGUCAGUGUAAAUGGUCACAACAUCAAUUUGAAAUGUGCUCUUGCCACUAUUUCAGCUGACAACUUUUCCAAAGAGUACAGAUUAUGGAGAGACCUGCAGCUGAAGUAAUGGAGCAGUUUCCUUUUCUUGGAGUGCCACAGCUUAUGCUGCAUGAAAUGACAAUGAGGUUUGGAACAGACUUGGUGAAGAACAUGGAAACAUCUCUAAAUGAAAUGGCCCCAAACAUCAUCAGGAGUGCAAAGGAGGAAGUAAAAAAAAAACCAAAUAAAUCUCAUUGGACCAGAAGAGGUAACCACAGAAGGCCUUGUUAGGAAUGCUGCACUCAUUUUAUUGCCAGCACUAUUUAAAGAAAACGCCAGCUUCCUCUACUGUGUAGAUAGUGAACACAAAGGUCCUACACCAACCAUAGUGUUCAACGGCUCUCCUGAUCCUCUCAAGGCUGAAAGUGUCAGCAUUAUAAUGGACAACAUAACAUGACACAGGCUGUGGAAUGCAUGUUUGCAGUCUAUUUUCUUUUCAGUGUGCAAUACCCGGUUGCCAUUAAGCGCACAGUGACUUUUAUUCAAAAAUAUAUGCUUAAACUUAGAUGUCGCCAUGACACAAGAACACCAAUACCUGUACUAAAAAUGUACAGUCAGCUUGUGUAAAUUGUAGUGAUAUUUAAUAGAUGUUUUAAUUGUUCAUGUAUUGUUUUUAUCUGCAUUGUGAUUUGUUUUUCCUCAUUUCAGAGAUACAUGUAAAAGUAAAGUACUGUAUACAUACAUACAUACAUAAGCUUGUUUAUGUACUGUAUGUUUAUUAAAAAGUGAAAAUGCUCAAGUGAAAUUAAAUCUAAAUGGUUAAAUGUAAUUAAACAUUUGAAAUGUAAAAUAAUUUAAAGUUUUGCUGUCUAAUACAGAGUAAACAGAGGUGCAAUUUUAAACAUAACACUAAUAUUUUUGUAUAAUAAAUUGAAUGAACUUAAACUUUUAGAAUUUUCUGGAUUGGUUAUAUUUUCUUAUUCAGUGAUACAUAACUCUUAAUAAUAAAGAACCCUUAAAUGGUUCUAAAAAGCACCAUCUAACUUGGAUUCAAAGAACGAUUUGGGGUUCUUUUUAAUGAACCCAUUAAAAUGGUUCUAUGUAGAAUCAUUUUGGGGUUCCAUGUAUGAAGCGGGUGAUAGGACCAUUUCUGGUUCUAAAUAGAACCGUUUCUUUUAAGAGUGAGAUGCUUUUCCAUCAAACAUUCUAUGCCUGUGACUUUGUCCAUUGACUCUGUAAUUUCUCUUUGUUUCUACAUUCUGUAUAUUGUGCGUUUGUGUUUUGUACAAUAAACUCAUUACUGUAUCUCCAAA
Pangasianodon hypophthalmus (striped catfish) is the source of this 3286-nucleotide long non-coding RNA. RefSeq lists it as uncharacterized. NCBI's taxonomy places the organism in Eukaryota, Metazoa, Chordata, Actinopteri, Siluriformes, Pangasiidae. The record is from RefSeq and is a predicted model, not a curated record. The transcript is spliced from 6 exons.